GACGAACGCUGGCGGCGUGCUUAACACAUGCAAGUCGAACGGUAAGGCUCCAGCUUGCUGGGGUACACGAGUGGCGAACGGGUGAGUAACACGUGGGUGACCUGCCCUGCACUUCGGGAUAAGCCUGGGAAACUGGGUCUAAUACCGGAUAGGACCGCACCGUGAGGGUGUGGUGGAAAGUUUUUUCGGUGUGGGAUGGGCCCGCGGCCUAUCAGCUUGUUGGUGGGGUAAUGGCCUACCAAGGCGGCGACGGGUAGCCGGCCUGAGAGGGUGGACGGCCACAUUGGGACUGAGACACGGCCCAGACUCCUACGGGAGGCAGCAGUGGGGAAUAUUGCACAAUGGGCGGAAGCCUGAUGCAGCGACGCCGCGUGGGGGAUGACGGCCUUCGGGUUGUAAACUCCUUUCACCAUCGACGAAGGGUUUCUGACGGUAGAUGGAGAAGAAGCACCGGCUAACUA
RNAcentral lists this ribosomal RNA (461 nucleotides) under uncultured bacterium. RNAcentral describes it as "partial 16S ribosomal RNA". It matches the Rfam family "Bacterial small subunit ribosomal RNA", at positions 28 to 503 of the family's 1533-position model. The record is from RNAcentral.